AUGACUACCGUUCGAGGCUUUGUGGUCUGGGAGCUUGUGAAGAAGAACAACUGCUUCUUGAUAAAACAGUUCCGCAACAGCAACGCCAAGCUGCGGUUCAGCAAGGAGUCCAACAACCUCUACAAUGUCAACUCCUACAAAUUCUCAAGCUUGGCGAACAGCAAGACCGUGGCGGUCCAGCCAUCAGCGGGAGAGGACAAGGCUGUUGUCCGGUCCACGACCAAGACCAAGAAGCAGAACACCCCUGCCAAGCUCCAGCACAAGACUCUGAUGCGCAAGGAGUUCCGCAAGAUGGCCAAGUCUGUCAAGAAUUAG
RNAcentral lists this ribosomal RNA (315 nucleotides) under Triticum aestivum (bread wheat). Its description in RNAcentral is "partial small subunit ribosomal RNA". The record is from RNAcentral. Lineage: Eukaryota; Viridiplantae; Streptophyta; Magnoliopsida; Poales; Poaceae.